This is a long non-coding RNA of Felis catus (domestic cat), 2682 nucleotides long. RefSeq lists it as uncharacterized. NCBI's taxonomy places the organism in Eukaryota, Metazoa, Chordata, Mammalia, Carnivora, Felidae. The transcript is spliced from 2 exons. The record is from RefSeq and is a predicted model, not a curated record.
CAAGCUUGCGUGUGUGUGUGUGUGUGUGUGUGUGUGUGUGUGUGUGUUUUAAGAGAGCAGGGCGAGAGAAGGAGUGGGAGGGAAGCAGCGAGGAGGACCGAUGGCUCUCCAUGCCUGUCCAUUUUGGGCGUCCGGGGGAGAGACUGUCUCUACAUGUGUGUUGUAUAAGAGAGUGAGUGAAGGAGGAGGGAGCGGCAGGGUGUCUGUGUAUUUGUAUGAUGUGUGACCUGUGCCUUAUGGGCCUGUUGUACAUGCAUGUGAUAUGGUAGAGACUGUGUCCCUGUUACAGAGACCAAAUCCCUGUGGUUUUGUGGUGUUGGGGGUGCAUGUGUACAUGUGCACACACAAGGAGGCUUGGCUGUGAUUUGGUACACUGUGGAUGUAGCCUAGUUUGUGGAAAGAGAUAAAAACCUUGUGUGUGCAGCAAAAGUGUUUUGUUUGUGUGACUUUGUGAUCACUUGUAUUCAUGUUGUGUUGAGAAAGAGAAACCAAGGUGUAAGGGGUGUAAUGAGUGUAUAUUCUGGAGAGACAAAGCCCUCCUGGAGGAGAUGGGGUUUGGGCUUUGAAGGAGGUAGAAGCCGUUCAUAAGGCAAGAAGGAAAGACGUGCGGAAUCUUGCCCACCAGCCGUGAGACUGGUGGUACACCUUGGAGACAUUGCAGGUUUGGUUCAAAACCACCACCAUGAAACAAAUACCGCAGUAAAGCAAGUCAAAUGAAUUUUUUGGUUUCCUAGUACAUUUAAAGUUAUGUUUACACUAUACUGUAGUCUGCUAAGUGUGCAAAAGGCAUCAUACCUAAAAAAAGAACCCAAUGUACAUACCUUAGUUAAAAGAUACUCCAUUGCUGGAAAAUGCGAAACAUUAUGAGCUUUCGAUGAGUCAUAAUCUGUUGCUGGUGGAGGGUCUUACCUCUACGCUGAUGGUUGGUGACUGAUCAGGAUGGUGGGUGCUGAAGGCUGGGGUGGCUGUGGCAAUUUCUGUUUUUGUCUUUUGUUGGUGGCAGUUUCUUAAAAUAAGACAUCGGUGAAGUUUGCCUUAUUGAUGGGCUCUUCCUUUCAUGAACAGUUUCUCUGUAACUUGUAACGCUGUUUGAUAGUGUUUCACCCACAGUAGAACUUCUUUCAAAGUUGGAAGUCAAUCCUUUCAAACCUGCCACUGCUUUAUCAACCAAGUAAUAUUUAUGUAAUAUUCUAAAUCCAUUGUCUUUUAACAGUCUUCACAGCAUCUUCCCCAGGAGUAGAUUCCAUCUCAAGAAACCGUGAUCUUUGCUCUUCCAUAAGAAGCAAGUCCUCAUCUGCUUGAGGUUCAUCAUGAGAUGGCGGCCAUCCAGUCCCCCUUUCAGGCUCCACUUCUAAUGCUAGUUCUCUUGCUGUUUCCACCCCAUCGGCAGCUGGUCCCUCUGCUGACGUCUUGAACCCCUCAUGUCAUCCGUGAGGGUGGGCAUCAACUUCUUCCUAACUCCUGUGAAUGUUGAUAUUUUGACCUCUUCCCAUGAAUCAUGAAUGGUCUCACUGGCAUCUGGAAUAGUGAAUCCUUCCCAGACAGUUUUCAACUUACUUUGCCCAGAUCCAAAUAAUUUGGAUAUUAUUAAAUAAUCUUCAAUAUUAAAUAAGUAUAUUAAACAGUAUCAAAUAAUCUUACAUACCAAGACCUUGAUCCAUGGGCUGCCGAAGGGAUGAUAUAUUAGUUAGCAGGCAUGAAAACAACUUUAAUCUCGUUGUACAUCUCCAUCGGAGCUCUCGGGUGACCAGGUGCGUUGUCAAUGAGCAGUAAUAUCUUGAAAUGAAGCUUUUUUUUUUUUUCCUGAGCAAUAGGAAUCAACAGUGGGCUUAAAAUAUCCAGCAAACCAUCGUGAACAGAUGUGCUGUCACCCAGUCUCUGUUGUUCCCUUUCUAGACUGCAGAGUAGAUUUAGCAUGACUCUUGAGGGACCUGGGAUUUUCAAAGUGGAACACGAGCAGAGGCUUCAACCUCAAGCCACCAGCUGCAUUAGCCCCUGACAAGAGAGUCAGCCUGUCCUUUGAAGCUUCGAAACCCAGCAUUGACUUCUCCUCUCCAGCUAUGAGAAUCCUACAUGGCAUCUUCUUCUAAUAUAAGGCUGUUGUAUCUACAUGGAAGUCUGUUAUUCAGUGUAGACACCUUUAUCAAUAUCUCAGCUAGAUCUAACUUGCGGCGGCUUCUACAUCACCACUUGCUGCUUCGUUUUGCACUUUUAUGCGAUGGAGAUGUCUUCUUUCCUUAAAUCGUGUGAACCGACCUCUGCCAGCUUUGGACUUUUCUCCUCCAGCCUCCUCCCCUCAUUCAGCCUUCAUAGAGCUGAAAAGAGUGAGGGCCUUGCUCUGGAUUAGGCUCUGGCUUCAGGGCUUGUUGUGGCUGGUGUGGUCUUCUAUCCAGGCCACUCAAACUUUCUUCUUCUCAGCAAUAAGACUGUUUCGCUUUCUUAUCAUUUGUGCGUUCACUGGAGUAGCGCUUCAUCAUUUCCUUCGAGAAUUUUUCCCUUGCAUUCACGACUUGGCUAACCAGUGCAGGAAGCCUCGCUCUCAGCCUAUCUCAGCUUUCAAUAUGCCUUCCUCACUGAGCUGAGUCAUUUCUAGCUUUUGAUGUAAAGUAAGAGACGUGUGACUCUUCCUUUCAUUUGAACACUUAGAGACCACUGUAGGGUUAUUAAAUGGCCUAAUUUCAA